Molecule: ribosomal RNA, 468 nt
Filed under: uncultured bacterium
Lineage: Bacteria
Description: partial 16S ribosomal RNA
Rfam family: Bacterial small subunit ribosomal RNA
Source: RNAcentral
GAUGAACGCUGGCGGCGUGCUUAACACAUGCAAGUCGAACGGAAAGGCCCAAGCUUGCUUGGGUACUCGAGUGGCGAACGGGUGAGUAACACGUGGGUGAUCUGCCCUGCACUUCGGGAUAAGCCUGGGAAACUGGGUCUAAUACCGGAUAGGACGAUGGUUUGGAUGCCAUUGUGGAAAGUUUUUUCGGUGUGGGAUGAGCUCGCGGCCUAUCAGCUUGUUGGUGGGGUAAUGGCCUACCAAGGCGUCGACGGGUAGCCGGCCUGAGAGGGUGUACGGCCACAUUGGGACGGAGAGACGGCCCAGACUCCUACGGGGGGCAGCAGUGGGGAAUAUUGCACAAUGGGCGCAAGCCUGAGGCAGCGACGCCGCGUGGGGGAUGACGGCCUUCGGGUUGUAAACUCCUUUCGCUAGGGACGAAGCGUUUUUGUGACGGUACCUGGAGAAGAAGCACCGGCUAACUACGUG